Termitomyces sp. Mi166#008 is the source of this 98-nucleotide non-coding RNA. Lineage: Eukaryota; Fungi; Basidiomycota; Agaricomycetes; Agaricales; Lyophyllaceae. The record is from the annotation of a GenBank genome assembly.
GGCGCUAUAGCCAAGUGGUUACGGCGACAGAUUAGAAUUCAGGCCAGAUAUUCAUCUGUUCCUCUUUGAGGGCGCAGGUUCAAAUCCUGCUGGCGUCG